This 449-nucleotide ribosomal RNA is filed under the name uncultured Pelagibacterales bacterium. RNAcentral describes it as "bacterial SSU rRNA". It matches the Rfam family "Bacterial small subunit ribosomal RNA", at positions 1069 to 1533 of the family's 1533-position model. The record is from RNAcentral. Lineage: Bacteria; Pseudomonadati; Pseudomonadota; Alphaproteobacteria; Candidatus Pelagibacterales.
GAGAUGUGGGUAGUCCGCACGAGCGCAACCCUCACUUUUAGUUGCCAUCAUUAAGUUGGGCACUCUGAAAGAACUGCCAGUGAUAAGCUGGAGGAAGGUGGGGACGACGUCAAGUCCUCAUGGCCCUUACGUGUUGGGCUACACACGUGCUACAAUGGCAUCUACAACAGGAAGCAAAACGGCAACGUUAAGCAAAUCCCGAAAAGAUGCCUCAGUUCGGAUUGCACUCUGCAACUCGAGUGCAUGAAGCUGGAAUUACUAGUAAUCGUGGAUCAGCGUGCCACGGUGAAUGCGUUCCCGGGUCUUGUACACACCGCCCGUCACACCAUGGGAGUUGGUUCUACCUUAAGGCAAGGUUUUAAACCCUUGACCACGGUAUAGUCAGCGACUGGGGUGAAGUCGUAACAAGGUAGCCGUAGGGGAACCUGCGGCUGGAUUACCUCCUUUCU